UAUCCUGGGAAAUCCUGUUAUAUGGAUUCUAUGUGUUUCAAACGUCUUUGUAUACAUUGUACGAAUCGGUAUUGAUAACUGGGCACCGUUAUAUGUGUCAGAGCAUUUACACUUUAGUAAAGGCGAUGCAGUUAAUACGAUAUUCUACUUUGAAAUUG
Molecule: small RNA, 158 nt
Filed under: Staphylococcus aureus
Lineage: Bacteria; Bacillati; Bacillota; Bacilli; Caryophanales; Staphylococcaceae
Description: Transcript
Source: RNAcentral